CUCCUCUCCCUUAGUAGGUUUGAAGAAGCCAGGUGGAGCAGGCAGCAGUCCCCAGAUGUGCAGCCUGCAGUGCCUCAAGGCAGUACACCAGCAACCCCAGGUCAGCCUGAUUGGUGCAACUCCGGGAGAUAGCCCAGUCAGAAAGGGGCCUAGGGGAUUCUCAACCACCUGGAUUCUCUUAUUUGACUGACACGGUCCUAGAUCAUGAGAAUACCUGGAGCGCUUGGCACGCACACCUCUCUCUCUGAGUCCCCGAACAGUGGCCUACACGUAGAGUGGGGGACAUAGUGGGCUCCUGUAUGUUUUAUAAAAAUGUCCUUGUCCUUCUUGCACCUGACCCUUCCAGAUGAAAAGUGUAAGUAGGAGGUGAUUGGAAAAAAGUUGAAGUUCUAACUACUAGAAUAGAACACAUCGAUUUUGUGACACUGGAGGGAGAAUAACAACCUUGGCACUUGGGGAGGGGACACCUCAGACCCUGGGAGAAAUGGGGGAAAGAAAGACACUUAUAGUCUUUGUCUUUCCAAACCACUUGGAACCUUCUUCACUGAGGACAACAUCUUGGUCCAACUCGCCCAAACUAUUUCAAGUGACUUAAAUUUAACUGACUGCUGAGUCUGCCAUGCUCCACUAGACAGUUCUGACCUGGAUUCGACUGCCAUUCUGCUUAACCUCACCAAGAGAUUGGAAGCAGCCGCGGGUAGCCUCAGCUCCUGUACCUCCUACAUAAAAUACCUGUCAACAACAUCACCUCCAGAUACAGAUCCCAGGCCCAAUCCUGAAGCUAUCACCACUCAGUCAUGCCAUGGAGUAGAUGAAUGGCAUCUGGCUGGUGGCAUGGGCAAACAGGACUAACUGCCCUUAGCCAAGCCCUCCAAAAACAAGGACUAGACUUAAUUAUUUGGAUUGGGCUGGAAGCCCUAAGGCCUAUGGACUUGAAGGGAGGCACUGUCAACCUGGGCCCCCUCUAGCUGAUGUAAGUCCCACUUGGGGGCGCCAUGUUUUUUCCCAGAAGCACCACUAGUACCCUUGAGACUGCAUGAUUGACGUGGAAGUCACACAUUAACUUGUCUCUCUCCAGAAAACAGAGUGACUUGAAAUUUAUCCUUGAUUUUAGCCUACUUGCAAACUAACAAAUGAGCCUGCCACAGGUUCAUGCAUGCUGGCAGAAGAUAGGAGACUCCUGAGUCAGAGAAAAAGGACCUUCUUACUCAUGGCUGGAAGCAUUAAUCCAGGUACAGCAGAUAUAUUGAUUGCACAGACUCUAGUCUGCAAGGAGAAGUACAGGAGAAAUCCAUCACCCAUAGCAACCUUGGUCAGUGAAUUGAGGCUCUCCUGAAUGCCUUCUGGGCCAAGGUGGAAAGGUUGAUGCAGAGAACUAAGGAGCGAGCCACCUGGCUUUCUAAGGUAGGUAUGAUGCUCUAUGGAUUUGUUCAUCUGGGAGGCAUAGUUGAGGUCAGUACUGCAAGUUGGCUUCAUCCUGCUGCUUGUAGUUCUGUUGGUAGUAGCUUUAAUUAAAUGCUGUAUGACACAAAUUGAACAGAUUUGGUCCUAGCCUCUGUCGAUCAGAUUUGCCAACAGAGUGGUGAACUCAUGGGAAAAUUCGCCCAAAGCCAAGAUAGUGUAGAAAUGAGGGGUGGAUAUUACUGUAAGACAAUUCUCCAGGGAUCUCUUGAGUUUCUGCGCAUUUUGCAAGCGAGGCAACUGACUGCCUUUGUCCUGGACUCUCUUCUCAAGGAUAUUGGUACAGUGAAUAGCCAUGGAAGAUCGAGACAGAAUCUCCCUCCAGUGCAAAGGGCAGUCAUUAGAAAAGACUUGCGUUCUUAAGUUUAGCAUCCUCUCCCAUACCACAGUCCACUGUGUGCAGGAGUCUAUCUAGGUCAUUGGUGCCACCCCCACGGGACCUGGGGACAAGAGGACUGAUGUUAAUAUGCUGAUGAUCAUGCUAUUUACUGCGCCAUGAAUAAUGGUCCUUUGUCUCUGACCCAGGAAUCUCCUGUCUUCUGCCAGCAGGCACGAACCUGUGGCAGGCUCACUUGUGUUUGCAAGUAAGGUAAAACCUCAGACCCGGGACUUCCCUGGUGGCGCAGUGGUUAAGAAUCCACCUGCCAAUGCAGGGGAUACAGGUUCGAGCCCUGGUCCAGGAAGAUCCCACAUGCCACGGAGCAACUAAGCCCCUGCGCCACAACUACUGAGCCCGUAUGCCUCAACUACUGAACCCUAUGUGCCUAGAGCCUGUGCUCCGCAACAAAGAGAAGCCACUGCAAUGAGAAGUCAGCGCACUGCAACGAAGGGUAGUCCCCGCUUGCCGCAACUGAGAAAGCCCGUGCACAGCAACGAAGAUCCAACGCAGCCAAAAUAAAUUAAUU
Molecule: long non-coding RNA, 2366 nt
Organism: Orcinus orca (killer whale)
Lineage: Eukaryota; Metazoa; Chordata; Mammalia; Artiodactyla; Delphinidae
Exons: 2
Source: RefSeq, a predicted model, not a curated record